RNAcentral lists this transfer RNA (67 nucleotides) under Tridacna derasa. RNAcentral's name for it is "tRNA-Phe". The record is from RNAcentral. Lineage: Eukaryota; Metazoa; Mollusca; Bivalvia; Cardiida; Cardiidae.
GUUUGAGUAGCUUAACGAUAACAGCGGUGCUUUGAAGCAGCAAUGAUAGGUGAACACCUCUCAAACA